UACAGAGGUCCCGAGCGUUGUUCGGAUUCACUGGGCGGAAAGGGUGCGUAGGUGGUUAGGUAAGUCCGAUGUGAAAUCUCCAGGCUCAACCUGGAAAUGGCAUUGGAUACUAUUUAGCUUGAGGAGUGGAGGGGGGACUGGAAUUCUCGGUGUAGCAGUGAAAUGCGUAGAUAUCGAGAGGAACACCGGUGGCGAAGGCGGUGAGCUGGGCAGUUGCUGACACUGAGGCGCGACAGCGUGGGGAGCAAACAGG
This 253-nucleotide ribosomal RNA is filed under the name uncultured bacterium. RNAcentral's name for it is "partial 16S ribosomal RNA". It matches the Rfam family "Bacterial small subunit ribosomal RNA", at positions 524 to 776 of the family's 1533-position model. The record is from RNAcentral.